AGCCUGGCGUGACAAGUGGGCGACGCCGGGGGGCAGGGAGCCGGGGUCCUUGGCCCUGGCCGGGGACCCCACCGCCCACCGCGCGGAGGACAACUUUUAGCCGGCAGCCCAGACCAGCGCGGCACCUGUCUCCGGAGUCUCCACCGCUCCUCCCGAUUCAUCCCAGGGAAAUUCUCAAGAAUACGCUCUACAAAUCUACGUGCGCAUCAUUUUCACCUCGCGUCGCGCCCGGGAGGAAGGAACGAGGCAAGGAGCUAAAGCAGCGUGCGUUCAGCCCUGGGGCAUUUUAUUAAUGCUUUUACGAGUUAGAAGAGUUGGGAUAAUUUGCCAUCUGGAGUUUCUCUGCCUUGCUGAUCUGAGCUCAGACCUGCCAAUUUACCAGAGAUAAUUGAUAACACCCUGUAACAGCUGAGAGGAAAAUGGAAGAAACGGAGAUACUUUUAGUGAAGCAGAAUAAACCACUGAACAGCGUUGGCUGAAAAACAUAAGGGAAAAAUGAGGAAGCUGUGAGUACCAGUGGAAGGAACGAGCCAGGAAGAGGGACUGGAACCAUCUCAGAAGCCAUGCCCCUCAGGCUGGAACUUGCCCUGUCUCCUCGCAGAUGAGACUGAGUGUACUUGGUCUGGUAUUUGUGGCAUAACUUACGGAACACAUAAGAAUGAUACAGAUACUAUUUAAUGAUGACCUAAUACAAGCUUAGAUAGCUAAGGUGAAAGCUUCUAUGGCCUUAACAUUUUCCUCUUGAAGAAUGUAUUUUCUGUAAUAAAAUACAGUGGCUACUUGAAAUCUAUAAACUUAUGUGAGGUCUGGAUAAAUCUGAGCAACUUUCUUCUUUGUGCUCCAGGAACCUACGCACUAUAUAUAUAAAUAAAGCUUAAGUAAACA
This 885-nucleotide long non-coding RNA is filed under the name Homo sapiens (human). RNAcentral describes it as "long intergenic non-protein coding RNA, p53 induced transcript". The record is from RNAcentral. Lineage: Eukaryota; Metazoa; Chordata; Mammalia; Primates; Hominidae.